AUAUAUAAUUAGAUGGUCUAAACAACUGCGUAUCAUAAUUUCCUUGAAUCUGUGAUGAUCAAUUGGAUUUAGUUUGACAAUGAAACGCGCCGUUCUUCUACUGCUUCUCGCGACCGCUAUUUCUGCGGUUAGCUGCCAUCCCACAGUACUGUGUAGCUCAUACGAAGUGAGAUCCUGCGGAAUAGCUUGGACGUUUUCAUGCGUAUGCACCUGUGCUCAAGGAUACGUGCGAAAUGAGGUGGGAGCAUGUGAAUCUAAUGUCAUCAUACCAGCGACAUAUUACACAUAUCCAGUCUACUGUCUUCCACAAUGUUGGUACUACGCCUACGGUUAUCCAUAUUAUGGUUGAAGAUACUCUAGUCAAUAUAGUUCUACAAUAAUAUGUUCAAAUAAAAGGUGAUUUUGACAGUUUACAGAAAAAAA
Toxorhynchites rutilus septentrionalis is the source of this 423-nucleotide long non-coding RNA. RefSeq lists it as uncharacterized. The transcript has 2 exons. The record is from RefSeq and is a predicted model, not a curated record. Lineage: Eukaryota; Metazoa; Arthropoda; Insecta; Diptera; Culicidae.